GGGUGUGGCUCAGUGGUAGAGCGCUUGCCUCAAGUGUGUGAGGCACUGAGUUCAACCCCCAGCAUCACA
Molecule: transfer RNA, 69 nt
Filed under: Marmota monax (woodchuck)
Lineage: Eukaryota; Metazoa; Chordata; Mammalia; Rodentia; Sciuridae
Description: tRNA.Leu
Rfam family: tRNA
About the family: Transfer RNA (tRNA) molecules are approximately 80 nucleotides in length. Their secondary structure includes four short double-helical elements and three loops (D, anti-codon, and T loops). Further hydrogen bonds mediate the characteristic L-shaped molecular structure. tRNAs have two regions of fundamental functional importance: the anti-codon, which is responsible for specific mRNA codon recognition, and the 3' end, to which the tRNAs corresponding amino acid is attached (by aminoacyl-tRNA synthetases). tRNAs cope with the degeneracy of the genetic code in two manners: having more than one tRNA (with a specific anti-codon) for a particular amino acid; and 'wobble' base-pairing, i.e. permitting non-standard base-pairing at the 3rd anti-codon position.
Source: RNAcentral